This 483-nucleotide ribosomal RNA is filed under the name uncultured bacterium. RNAcentral describes it as "partial 16S ribosomal RNA". It matches the Rfam family "Bacterial small subunit ribosomal RNA", at positions 30 to 506 of the family's 1533-position model. The record is from RNAcentral.
AUUGAACGCUGGCGGCAGGCCUAACACAUGCAAGUCGAGCGGAUGAAGGGAGCUUGCUCCUGGAUUCAGCGGCGGACGGGUGAGUAAUGCCUAGGAAUCUGCCUGGUAGUGGGGGAUAACGUCCGGAAACGGGCGCUAAUACCGCAUACGUCCUGAGGGAGAAAGUGGGGGAUCUUCGGACCUCACGCUAUCAGAUGAGCCUAGGUCGGAUUAGCUAGUUGGUGGGGUAAAGGCCUACCAAGGCGACGAUCCGUAACUGGUCUGAGAGGAUGAUCAGUCACACUGGAACUGAGACACGGUCCAGACUCCGACGGGAGGCAGCAGUGGGGAAUAUUGGACAAUGGGCGAAAGCCUGAUCCAGCCAUGCCGCGUGUGUGAAGAAGGUCUUCGGAAUGUAAAGCACUUUAAGUUGGGAGGAAGGGCAGUAAGUUAAUACCUUGCUGUUUUGACGUGACCAACAGAAUAAGCACCGGCGAACUUCGU